Molecule: transfer-messenger RNA, 359 nt
Filed under: Plesiocystis pacifica
Lineage: Bacteria; Pseudomonadati; Myxococcota; Nannocystales; Nannocystaceae
Also listed under: 1 other name
Rfam family: transfer-messenger RNA
About the family: Bacterial tmRNA, also known as 10Sa RNA or SsrA, is named for its dual tRNA and mRNA-like properties. Its role is to liberate the mRNA from a stalled ribosome.
Source: RNAcentral
GGGGGUGCACUGGCGUUCGACGUGGGUUCGGAAGGUGAAGACUGCGUGUCGCGGGCUCGACGCCGCGUCAAAAACGACGGGAAACACACAGCUGCCAACGACAGCAACUACGGCCGCAUGGCCGUUGCCGCCUAAUAAGCGACACGACGUCGCGUGAGGCGCUCUAGUAGCGCGUCGUCGUCAAUACAGGAGCUAGUCACCGUAGGGCCCCGAUGCGGUGAUGAAAAUCUAGGGGAUCGCUCCCGCGAGGGCCUGCUGAUAGGCAUGCGCGGGGGCUAAAUCCAAGUAUGUCAGCUACGCACGUAGACGUCUCAUCGGAAGGCUUGCGGACCGGGGUUCGACUCCCCGCGCCUCCACUC